UCGAGUUCACAAAAUCUAGAGAGCUUUCUUUCUCGCCUGCAAACGAAGAUGGCCGAGUAUGAGAGCCCGUGGUGGACCGCCACCAAAAAACCCGACGAAUCCGCUCUGAGUCAACUUAUAGCAACCGAGAACAACUCGCGCGAUGUCAACUGCCACCACCACUGACUCAUCGGCUCCACACAUUCUCUGACAAUUGAAGUUGAAUAUGAAGAAGGUUUUGACACAUUUAGCCCUGUUGGACUCUCAAGUUUGAUGUGUGUUCUAAAAAUGGGCCUAGGUGGCGCCAAGGUGCUGGACGGCGGAGCUCCGACCCGAUUUAGACCAAAACGUUCAAUUAGGCGGGGAGGACUUAGGCGGCCGCCAAGGCGCUCACUAGGCGCCUGAGGCGGGCUAGGUGGCGGUCUAGGCGGUUUGAAUCUCGCUGCAAUUUUUGCUACCGGAUCUACAAUUUCCGAUCUCGUACAUAGCAGCAGAGCUCCGGCGAAUUUCUACGUCUUUGUGAAGAUGAGGGAAGAGAGAGAGAGAGUAUUAAACAUUUCAAUCUGUGGUGGCGCAAGUUGGAUUUGAGAUCCAAUUUUGAGGUUCUGAAAGUGAAAGGCCGAAGAAGAAGAACGAAGAUGAGGCAUAAGGGAAGAGAGCGCCAAGAGAGAGAGAGAUAGAGAACGAGAGAAAGAGACUAAAAGAUUAGGUUCUGAAAGGGUAAAGAAGAAGAAACGAAAUUCAAAAGCUGGUGAUGGGUUCUUAGGUGAUGUGAAAGAGUCAGAUGGUAAGGGUUCUUGGGUGAUGUGAAAGAGUGGUUUUAAUUAUGAAACCAUCCACUCAUCAGAUGGUUUUAAAUAUGAAACCACCCACUUGCGUGGGUUUUUUAUAGUUUUAAAAGUUUGGGAUGUAUAUUAUAUGUAUAUAAAUGUUAUAUAAAUUAUAAAUUAUAAAUCAUUUAGAUAAUAUUUUGUUUUUUUUUUCCUAGGCAAGCAUAUUAGAUAUGUACAUAAAACAUUCACAUAUGUAUGUUCUUCUAUAAGAAAUAACAUAUUAUUCAAUAAUUAUUUA
This is a long non-coding RNA of Pyrus x bretschneideri (Chinese white pear), 1050 nucleotides long. RefSeq lists it as uncharacterized. The record is from RefSeq and is a predicted model, not a curated record. NCBI's taxonomy places the organism in Eukaryota, Viridiplantae, Streptophyta, Magnoliopsida, Rosales, Rosaceae. The transcript has 3 exons.